UACGUAGGUCCCGAGCGUUGUCCGGAUUUAUUGGGCGUAAAGCGAGCGCAGGUGGUUUAUUAAGUCUGGUGUAAAAGGCAGUGGCUCAACCACUGUAUGCAUUGGAAACUGGUAGACUUGAGUGCAGGAGAGGAGAGUGGAAUUUCAUGUGUAGCGGUGAAAUGCGUAGAUAUAUGGAGGAACACCGGUGGCGAAAGCGGCUCUCUGGCCUGUAACUGACACUGAGGCUCGAAAGCGUGGGGAGCAAACAGG
Molecule: ribosomal RNA, 252 nt
Filed under: uncultured bacterium
Lineage: Bacteria
Description: partial 16S ribosomal RNA
Rfam family: Bacterial small subunit ribosomal RNA
Source: RNAcentral